CCUACGGGAGGCAGCAGUAGGGAAUAUUGCUCAAUGGGGGAAACCCUGAAGCAGCAACGCCGCGUGGAGGAUGAAGGUUUUCGGAUUGUAAACUCCUUUUGUUAGAGAAGAUAAUGACGGUAUCUAACGAAUAAGCACCGGCUAACUACGUGCCAGCAGCCGCGGUAAUACGGAGGGUGCAAGCGUUACCCGGAAUCACUGGGCGUAAAGAGUGCGAAGGCGGGAAAGAAAUACAGAGGUGAAAUUGUAUGGCUUAACCAUAGAACUGCAUUUGAAACUGUUAUUCUAGAGUAUGUGAGGGGUAGGUGGAAUUCUUGGUGUAGGAGUAAAAUCCGUAGAGAUCAAGAGGAAUACUCAUUGCGAAGG
Molecule: ribosomal RNA, 366 nt
Filed under: uncultured bacterium
Lineage: Bacteria
Description: partial 16S ribosomal RNA
Rfam family: Bacterial small subunit ribosomal RNA
Source: RNAcentral